RNAcentral lists this ribosomal RNA (427 nucleotides) under uncultured bacterium. Its description in RNAcentral is "bacterial SSU rRNA". It matches the Rfam family "Bacterial small subunit ribosomal RNA", at positions 354 to 796 of the family's 1533-position model. The record is from RNAcentral.
GUAGGGAAUAUUGCACAAUGGAGGAAACUCUGAUGCAGCGACGCCGCGUGAGUGAUGAAGGCCUUCGGGUCGUAAAGCUCUGUCGCAGGGGAAUAACACAAUGAAGGUACCCUGUAAGAAAGGAUCGGCUAACUUCGUGCCAGCAGCCGCGGUAAGACGAGGGAUCCUAGCGUUGUUCGGAAUCAUUGGGCGUAAAGCGGAUGUAGGUGGCUAUGUAAGUCAGAUGUGAAAGCCUGGGGCUCAACCCCAGAAGUGCAUUUGAUACUGCGUAGCUUGAGUGUCGGAGAGGUUACUAGAAUUGUUGGUGUAGUGGUGAAAUACGUAGAUAUCAACAGGAAUACCGGAGGCGAAGGCGGGUAACUGGCCGAACACUGACACUGAGAUCCGAAAGCGUGGGGAUCAAACAGGAUUAGAAACCCGGUAGUCC